GACUCGUCACACUAUCAUUAACUGAAUCCAUAGGUUAAUGAGGCGAACCGGGGGAACUGAAACAUCUAAGUACCCCGAGGAAAAGAAAUCAACCGAGAUUCCCCCAGUAGCGGCGAGCGAACGGGGAGGAGCCCAGAGCCUGAAUCAGCAUGUGUGUUAGUGGAAGCGUCUGGAAAGGCGCGCGAUACAGGGUGACAGCCCCGUACACAAAAGCGCAUGUGCUGUGAGCUCGAUGAGUAGGGCGGGACACGUGGUAUCCUGUCUGAAUAUGGGGGGACCAUCCUCCAAGGCUAAAUACUCCUGACUGACCGAUAGUGAACCAGUACCGUGAGGGAAAGGCGAAAAGAACCCCGGCGAGGGGAGUGAAAAAGAACCUGAAACCGUGUACGUACAAGCAGUGGGAGCACA
RNAcentral lists this ribosomal RNA (408 nucleotides) under Salmonella enterica subsp. enterica serovar Chester. RNAcentral describes it as "partial 23S ribosomal RNA". It matches the Rfam family "Bacterial large subunit ribosomal RNA", at positions 137 to 583 of the family's 2925-position model. Lineage: Bacteria; Pseudomonadati; Pseudomonadota; Gammaproteobacteria; Enterobacterales; Enterobacteriaceae. The record is from RNAcentral.